This 4997-nucleotide long non-coding RNA is filed under the name Durio zibethinus. RNAcentral describes it as "long non-coding RNA (DZIB_LNC002051)". Lineage: Eukaryota; Viridiplantae; Streptophyta; Magnoliopsida; Malvales; Malvaceae. The record is from RNAcentral.
AUUCCAUUUCAUUUUUGAAAUUUUUCUUCAAUUUUUGUCCUUUUUAUUUUCUUACUUUUUAUAUUUUCUUUUUUUUUCUUUUUUUGUGCUUUAUUUAUUUUUUUCUUUUGCUUUAAUUUUCUUUCUUAUUUUAUUUUUAUUUCUUUCUUUUUUUAUAGUUUCAUAAAUUUUUAUUAAGUUUUGAAAUUUUUUAUUUUUCUAUCUUUUUUCUUUUCUUUUUUUAUUUUAUCAUCUCGGUUAUUUUUUAUUGCAUUUUUAUAAUUUUUCAUUAACUUUUUCUCCUUUCAAAUUUUUCUUCUUUUUUUUAUGUGCUUUCGUUUCUUUUUCUUCACUUUUUUCCUUGUUUUAAAAUUUUCUAUAAAUUUUUUUCUUUUUGUUUUAUUUCAUAUUUUUGCCUCUUCAUUUUUUAUUUUUUUUUUCUCAUUUUUCUCAAAUUUUAUUUUAUAUAUUUUGUAUUUUCAUUUUUUAAUUUUUUCUUGCUUUUUCUUAAAUCUUUUUGUUUGCACUUUUUUUUAUUUCUUCUUUAUAAUUUUAAAACCUCAAACUUCUUUUUUUGUGCACAUUCUUUUAUUUUUAUUUUUAUUUUUAUUUUUCAUCUUUCAUAUUUUAUAUCUUUUUCCUUUAUUUGUUGUAUAUAUUUUUUGUUUUUCUUUGUACGUUCUAAACUAAAAGUUUUUUUUUCCAUUUGUUUUGAUUUUUAUUCAUUUUGUCUUUUUAUAUUUUUGAUUCGUAAAUUUUUUAUUUUCUUGCUUGUUACUUUUUGUUUUGUUUAUUUUUAUUUUUUCCUUUUUUGGUAUUUUAUUUAAUUUUUCUUUUAUAUUAAUAUUUUCUCUUAAUUUAUUUUUUCAUUUUUUUUAUUUAUAAUUUAAAAAAUUUUAUAAAGUUUAAAAUUUUUUAUUUUUUCAUUUUCUUAUUUUUUGUCUAUUUUUUUUGCUACUUUUUGUUCUAUUUUAUAAAUUUUCAAUAACUUUUUCCCUUCAAAAUUUUCUUUCUUUUUGCCUUUUUUUCAUAUGCUUUCAUUUUUAUUUGUUUUAAUUCUUUCAAUGUUUUAAAAUUAUUUAUAUUUCUUUACGCUUUUUCCAUUUUUUUUUCACAAAUUUCCCUUCACUUCUUAUUUCGUUUUUUAAAUUCUCAUAAUUUUUUUUUUUUGCAUUUUCUCCUUUGGUUUCAUUUUUACUUUGAAUUAACUUUUCUCUUUUUUAAUUUUUUGCCUUUGACUUUUUAUAUUAUUUUCUCAUUAUGUCUUAUAUGUUUUUCAAUUUUUUGUAUUUUUUGAACUAUUUUUUUUUCAUUUUGUCAUUCCAUUUCAUUUUUGAAGUUUUUAUUCAAUUUUUGUCUUUUUAUUUUCUUACUUUUUAUAUUUUUAUUUUUAUUUUUUUUAUUUUAUCAUUGUUGGUUCUUUUCUAUUGCAUUUUUAUAAUUUUUCUUCAACUUUUUCUCCUUUCAAAUUUUUCUUCUUUUUUUUACUUAUUUUUUCAUGUGCUUUCAUAUUUUUUUGUUUUCACUUUUUUCUUUGUUUCAAAAUAUUCUAUAAACUUUUUUCUUUUUGUUUUAUCUCAUAAUUUUGACUCUUCAUUUUUUUAUUUUUUUCUUGUUUUAACUUUUUUUUGCCCUUCCUUGUCUUAUUUUAUUUUGUAUUAAAUUUUUCCCUUCGUUAAUUUUUUUUGAUUAUAUUUUUUUAAUUACUUUUUUCUAUGUUAUGUAAAUUAAAAUAUAAUUUGUAAUCCAUUUCAUUUUUAAUAAAUUUUCAAUCUUGAUUUUUAGCAAAUUAUUUCUAUUGUUUGUUUAUUUUUAAAGAAUACUUUUUUAUAUUUAUAAUAUACUAAUUUUUCAAUUUUUAUAUGGCUAAAAUUUUUUUUGACCAUAUCCUUAAUUUUAAUCAAAAAAAGUUUUUUCAUUUUUUAAUCUUUUUCUUUUUGCUUUAAUAUUUUCUCUUAUUUUAUUUUUCCUCUUACUUUGUUUUUUAUAAAUAAAUUUAUAAAUGUUAUAGAUAUUAAAACAUUGCUCAAUGAGACUUUGACUUUAUUAGAAAUGGAAGGUGUUAUGUGCAUGUAUGCUAAUUAAGAUAUCUAGUUAAGAUCAUCUGUAAUUUAUCUUGAAAUUUGUUUUUAUUUAUCGUGUAAUUUUAUCUAAUUAACAAAAUUCUCUUGUAUAAUAUUUUAUCUUUCAUUUGUUAUUAAUUUUUUUUUUCUAAUUUUUUUCUUUUGACUCAUUAUUUUUUCAUUUCCUUACUUUUUUUAUUUUUUCUAUUUUGUGCUUUUGUUUAUUUUAUUUUUUUUCUCUUUUUAGUACUUAUUUUUUUUCCUUUCUCCUUUAAAUUUUCUCUUAUUUUAUUUUCCUUUUAUUUUUUUCUUUUUUUUUAUAAAAAUUUUAUAAUGUUAUAGAUAUUAAAACAUUGUUGAAUGAGACUUUGGCUUCAUUAGAAAUGGAAGGAGUUAUGUGCAUGUAUACUAAUUAGAUAUCUAAUUAAGAUCAUCUUGUAUUUUAUCUUGAAAUUUGUUUUUAUUUGUCGUGUAAUUUAUCUAAUUAACAAAAUUAUCUUGUAUAAUAUUUUAUCUUUUAUUUAAUUCAAUUUGGAUUAUUUUUUUACUACUUAUUAUUUUAUUUAUUAUUUUGGAUUGUGUAAUAUUUAUCUUUUAUUUAAUACAAUUUGUUAAGAGAUAAUAAUUAUCUUUGUUAUUUCUUUUGGAAUUUUAUUGGCUUAUAUAUAAUAACACUAGUUUGGAAUUGUUAUAUCUAUCACUAUUUACUUCAUGUAUCCAAAUUUUUACAUUUUUAACGAUUUAAAAAUUAAAAGUUCUAAAUUUAAAUCAAUAAAUUCAAAUCAAAAUAUUUUGCAUCUAAACUUUCGAAUUCAAAUUAAGUUUUAAACAUAAAUUAAAGAUUGAACUUUUGUAGAAUUUUUUUUAUUUCUUUAUUUACUUCCUUUUUCUUUUCCUUUUUUUUGACUUUUUUUGUUUUUUUUUUUACUUUUUAUGCAUUUUCUUAAUUUUUCAUUCCUUUUUUUUUUCUUUUUACAUAAUACUUUCUUUCUUGUUUUCUUUCUAUUACUUAUUUUCCUUUUACUUUGAUUUUCUUUUUUGUUACUUCAAUCUAAUUGGUCAUUUACAUUAUUUUCUAUUAAUGUUUUUCUUUUUGCACUCUCUUUACUUUCUAUCUUUGUUUUUCUCAUUUUUUAUUUUUUCUUAACGUUUUUCUUCUUUUUUUGGGGUUUUCUUGGCUUUUUUUUCUCAUUUGUGAUUUUUGUUCCACACUUCCUUCUUUUGUUUUUAUUUUUUCUUUUUGUAUUAACUUUUCCCUUCUUUUAAUUUUUUCUUUUUGAUUUUUUAAAUCUUUUUUUCUCAUUAUUUGUUAUUUUUUUAUAUUUUAUAAACUAAACUUUUCUCUAUUUUGUCAUUUUUUCCAUUUUUAAUAUUUUCUAUUUUUUUAAUUUUUUCUUUUGACUCGUUAUUUUUUCAUUUCCUUACUUUUUUUUGUUUUUUUUUUUGUUUUUAGUACUUAUUUUAUCAUUUUCCUUUUAUUUUUUAUUUUUAACUUUUGUUAUUUUUAUAAAACUUUUGUAAUGUUAUGGAUUUUUACUUCAUUUUUUAAUCUAUUGUUCUUUUGGUUUUUCUCAUUUUUUUCAUUUUUUAUUUUUUGCUAUUUUUAUUCUAUUUUUAUAAUUUUUCAUUAAUCCUUUUUUUUUCUUUUUCUUUUAACUUAUUUGUUGAUUUACUUUCUUUUUUUUUUUCUUUCUAUUAAAAUUCUCUAUUUUUUUCUUGCUUUUUCUUAUAUCUUUUUGUUCACACUUUUUUUAUUUCUUCUUUACAAUUUUAAAACCUCAAACUUCUUUUUUUGUGCACUUCCUUUUGUUUUUAUUUAUAUUUUUUAUUAACUUUUAUUUUAUUUUUUUCUUUAAACUAAAAGUUUUUUCUAUUUUAUAUUUCAAAUUUUUAUUCAUUUUGUCUUUUUAUAUUUUUUUUAUUUUCUUACUUUUUCAUUUUUUUCCAUUUUUGGUAUUUUAUUUAAUUUUUUCUUUUAUAUUACUAUUUUUUUAUUUGUUUUUUAUUUAUAUUUUUAAAAACUUUUAUAAAAUUUUAAAAUUUAAAAUUUUUUGAAUCUUUUUUAUUUUUUCAUUUUCAUUUUUUUUGUUCUAUGUUGUAAUUUUUCAAUAACUUUUUCCCUUCAAAAUUUUCUUUCUUUUUGCUUUUUUUUUUUUCAUAUGCUUUCAGUUUUACUUGUUUUAAUUUUUUCGUUGUUUUAAAAUUUUUUAUAUUUCUUUUUUCUUUUUUUAUUCCAAAUCUUUUGUCUUUUCAUUUUUAUUCUUUUCUUAUUUUUUCACAAAUUUCCUUUCAUUUCUUAUUUGCAUUUUUAAAUUAUUAGACUUUUUUUGUGCACUUUCUUUUUGUUUUUAUUUAUAUUUUUUAUUAACUUUUAUUUUAUUUUUUAUCUUUGAUUUUUUAUAUCUUUUUCCUAUAUUUGUUAUAUUUUUUUUGUUUUUCUUUGUAUAUUCUGAACUAAAAGUUUUUUCUAUUUUGUAUUUGAAAUUUUUAUUCAUUUUGUCUUUUGUAUUUUUUUAUUCGCUAAUUUUUUAAUAUCUUACUUUUUUAUUUUUUGCUUUUUUGGUAUUUUAUUUAAUUUUUUCUUCUAUAUUAAUAUUUUAUCUUAAUUUAUUUUUCCAUUUAUUUUUAUUUAUAUUUUAAAAAAUUUUUAUAAAGUUCAAAAUUUUUUAUUUUUUUUGAUUUUUAUUUUAUUAUUUUUGCUAUUUUUGUCCUACUUUGUAAUUUUUUAAUAACUUUUUCCUUCAAAACUUUUCCUUCUUUUUGCUUUUUUUUCAUAUGCUUUCAUUUUUACUUGUUUUAAUUUUUUCGUUAUUUUAAAAAUUUUUAUUUUUCUGUUUUUUAUUCCAAAUCUUUUGUCUUUUCAUUUUUAUUCUUUUGUUGCUUUUCUUAUUUCUUUUUUCACAAAUUUCCUUUCAUUUCUUAUUUGCGUUUUUAAUUCAUACUUUUUUGCAUAAC